UACGUAGGGUGCGAGCGUUAAUCGGAAUUACUGGGCGUAAAGGGCGCGUAGGCGGCCUGCUAAGUCGAACGUGAAAUCCCUGGGCUCAACCCAGGAACUGCGUCCGAUACUGGCAGGCUUGAAUCCGGGAGAGGGAUGUGGAAUUCCAGGUGUAGCGGUGAAAUGCGUAGAUAUCUGGAGGAACACCGGUGGCGAAGGCGGCAUCCUGGACCGGUAUUGACGCUGAUGCGCGAAAGCCAGGGGAGCAAACGGG
This 253-nucleotide ribosomal RNA is filed under the name uncultured bacterium. RNAcentral describes it as "partial 16S ribosomal RNA". It matches the Rfam family "Bacterial small subunit ribosomal RNA", at positions 524 to 776 of the family's 1533-position model. The record is from RNAcentral.